Molecule: transfer RNA, 67 nt
Filed under: Isonychia ignota
Lineage: Eukaryota; Metazoa; Arthropoda; Insecta; Ephemeroptera; Isonychiidae
Description: tRNA-Ser
Source: RNAcentral
AUUUAGAAAUGUAAGACAUUGUAAGAGCUGCUAACUCUCACUAUAGCGGUUAAAUUCCGUUAACAUU